Long non-coding RNA from Poecilia latipinna (sailfin molly), 796 nucleotides. RefSeq lists it as uncharacterized. Lineage: Eukaryota; Metazoa; Chordata; Actinopteri; Cyprinodontiformes; Poeciliidae. The transcript is spliced from 2 exons. The record is from RefSeq and is a predicted model, not a curated record.
UCUGCAGGUUUGUCGAAGCUCUGAGAGCUCAGAUGAAGGAGCGUUUGUCUCAGAUGAAGCUGGAGCUCCCUACUCUCUGCUGCUGUGCCUCCUCUUUUUGGGAUUCCCACCCUGACACCUGCGCCAACAACUGCAUCUUCCACAACAACCCCAGAGCAUAUGCUAAAGCUCUGCAGUUAACACUGGUGAAUUUGGACUUACAGUAAUGGAAACUGCAAUUUCUGAAGGAACUGGCAUCUCGCUUUUCGUUUUUGUCAGAUGUUUAGACAUGUUUAGUGGUUGCAUCAUUAGAAGACAUGCUGUAGUACUUUUCACACAUAUUCUUUGUAGGGUGAAUUUGGCUGCUUGUAUUUUAUGUCACCAAAUUACCUGGCCAGUUUAACAUUCCCAGUGAUUUUAAUAGCACCCUAGUUGGACUAAUUAUAUCCCCAUUACUCUUUAUUAAGGUUCUAAUCCAGCUCAAACUCAACUUUCUAACAAUUUAAGCAAUACUUUUCUGGAUUAGGUAUAAUAAAUAUUUUUUCUUUGUUUGCAUUUUGUUAACUUUUCUUACUUUAUUUAUUGUAAAUUAUGAAUUCUGUGUAUAUGUGAACAUUGUACAUGUAAUUAUUGACAAUUUUACAAAGGCACAUUGACUUUGUAAAAUUAUGUCAAUGUGACAGAAAAUAAGUAAAAGUAAAAGUUAAACUUGAAUUUCACUCAUUGUUGUCGGGUGGAUUUUGCAAGAAUUCACCUACUGGUCUGCUGUUUUUUUUUUAAAAAAGUAUUAAAAAAAUAAAAUCUCACGUUUCCCUCA